AAAUAGAUUAAUAUUCCAUAGAAUAGUCAGUUCAGGAGGAUGGAUGGUUGAUUUAGUUAUUAAAAGCGGUUAUUAUAGGAUUACAGUUAGGAUCUGGAAAUCAGUAGCAAUUAUAUAGGAGUUGUAGAAGUUUGUUGGGAGGCCAAACUAUGAUAGUCAUGAGCCGGGGUUAAGCUUGGUGCUACUUCUUUGUUUUCUUUGUUUUUUUUGUUAUUAAAGAGUAAUGGAUAGUUUUUGAAUACUAAGAAGUGAGUCUGUGGAAUAAAUCAAAGAUUGAUUUAUAAAUUAUUGAUUAUGUAAUUGGAGUAUUAUGUGAUUGAAUUAUAUGAAAAGUUAUUGGAAGAUUGAUUAUGGAUGGAAGAUUAUGAUUGUUGUUUAUUGAGAGUUGUGUGUGUUUUAGAGAGAGGAAGUCUGUGAUUACAGAAAUUCUGCGGAUCCAGAUUGGUUGGAGUGAAGUCUGUUAUUCCAGGUGUUGGAUGGAAUUUAUGAAUUUUGAGUAGUCUUUUAAGAGUGUAGGAUUGCAUACUAUUGUUAUGAGUUGAUAAAAGAGUAUUGUUACUAGAAAGAAGCAUUGUAAGAUUUCUUGGUAUUUUAGUGGUUCGGAAUACAGUUAAUUGUGUGACCCUUAUAAAUAAAGCUCAUGCAUUUAGUCUUUCCCUGUGUUCGAAUUUCCUUAUACAGGUUUGGUCUGGAA
This 694-nucleotide long non-coding RNA is filed under the name Physcomitrium patens. RNAcentral describes it as "long non-coding RNA (PPAT_LNC008333)". The record is from RNAcentral. Lineage: Eukaryota; Viridiplantae; Streptophyta; Bryopsida; Funariales; Funariaceae.